Molecule: ribosomal RNA, 776 nt
Filed under: uncultured Neocallimastigales
Lineage: Eukaryota; Fungi; Neocallimastigomycota; Neocallimastigomycetes; Neocallimastigales
Description: partial large subunit ribosomal RNA
Rfam family: Eukaryotic large subunit ribosomal RNA
Source: RNAcentral
UAUCUCUGUAGAGUCUGCAUAUCAAUAAGCGGAGGAAAAGAAACUAACUAGGAUUCCCUAGGUAACGGCGAGUGAAGCGGGAAGAGCUCAAAUUUGAAAUCUUCAAGGUUCUACCUUGACGAAUUGUAGUUUAAAGAAGUGUUUUCUGUUGGAGUUUUGGUAAAAGUUCUUUGGAAUAGGACAUCAUAGAGGGUGAGAAUCCCGUAUUUGACCAUUUCUUCCAGCUGUGUGAUACACUUUCAAAGAGUCGGAUUGUUUGGGAAUGCAGUCCAAAAUGGGUGGUAAAUUUCAUCUAAAGCUAAAUAUUGGCGAGAGACCGAUAGCGAACAAGUACCGUGAGGGAAAGAUGAAAAGAACUUUGAAAAGAGAGUUAAACAGUACGUGAAAUUGUCAAAAGGGAAGCGUUUGACACCAGUGUUGUUUCCUCGAAAAUCAAUUAAAAAUGGUUGAUUUUGUGUUGUAUUGACCUUAUAAGCUUUCUGCACUUUUUUCAUGUCUUUUUUAAUGCACUUUUCGUUUAACAAGUCAACAUCAAUUUCUUUUGUUGUAAAAAGGGUAAUAGGAAGGUGGCUUUCACUUCGGCUGCAAGUGUUUAUAGCCUUUGACUUCUGCAAUCGGAGAGAUUGAGGUCUGCAGCGUAGAUCCUUCGGGGUUAGAUACAUUUGUGCUAAGCUAUAGCCUUUUAUAGACAACAUUGUUGACUAUGCUCAGUCAUGUAGCUUACUCGCUUAUGCUAUUUUACCUACGCUUAGGAUGUUGAACGCGCACAGAGUCUC